GACGAACCGAGCGAACGUUGUUCGGAUUUACUGGGCGUAAAGAGCGCGCAGGCGGUCGUUCAAGUCGCGUGUGAAAGCCCCCGGCUCAACUGGGGAGGGUCACGCGAUACUGAUCGACUCGAAGGCAGGAGAGGGAAGUGGAAUUCCCGGUGUAGUGGUGAAAUGCGUAGAUAUCGGGAGGAACACCAGUGGCGAAGGCGACUUCCUGGCCUGUUCUUGACGCUGAGGCGCGAAAGCUAGGGGAGCAAACGGG
RNAcentral lists this ribosomal RNA (253 nucleotides) under uncultured bacterium. RNAcentral describes it as "partial 16S ribosomal RNA". It matches the Rfam family "Bacterial small subunit ribosomal RNA", at positions 524 to 776 of the family's 1533-position model. The record is from RNAcentral.